Molecule: long non-coding RNA, 356 nt
Filed under: Chinchilla lanigera (long-tailed chinchilla)
Lineage: Eukaryota; Metazoa; Chordata; Mammalia; Rodentia; Chinchillidae
Description: lncRNA (ENSCLAG00000023873.1)
Source: RNAcentral
GUUUUAACUUUAAAAGCCUUUGAUGAACACUCAAACUGGGGAAAUCUGAAGUAUUAACAGGCAAGACCUGGGAAAGAGAAUAAAGUUAACUUUGUGAUGGGCAUAGAGAACGGCACCUUGGUCAAUUCAGCAUUUGGAACAAUUGUGAAUACUAUGGUUCUUUGCCUUCUUUGGGGUGUGUCCCUGGGACAGGCCUUGUUUUCUCCUAUCAUCUCCUUGUGGCCAGACUAUGUAGUUCCUUGAAUCAUUACAUAGCCAAGGCUGGCCUGGAUGGAACUCAUGGCAGAUCUCAUGCCUCAAGUGCUGGGAUGACAAGGACACACCACAGUGCCAGGUAAAACCAUGAUUCCUUCCCA